UACGUAGGGUGCAAGCGUUAAUCGGAAUUACUGGGCGUAAAGCGUGCGCAGGCGGUUGUGUAAGACAGAUGUGAAAUCCCCGGGCUCAACCUGGGAACUGCAUUUGUGACUGCACAGCUGGAGUGCGGCAGAGGGGGAUGGAAUUCCGCGUGUAGCAGUGAAAUGCGUAGAUAUGCGGAGGAACACCGAUGGCGAAGGCAAUCCCCUGGGCCUGCAC
Molecule: ribosomal RNA, 217 nt
Filed under: uncultured bacterium
Lineage: Bacteria
Description: partial 16S ribosomal RNA
Rfam family: Bacterial small subunit ribosomal RNA
Source: RNAcentral